RNAcentral lists this small RNA (2033 nucleotides) under Pan troglodytes (chimpanzee). RNAcentral's name for it is "retained intron". The record is from RNAcentral. Lineage: Eukaryota; Metazoa; Chordata; Mammalia; Primates; Hominidae.
UAGCCGGGGAGAGUAGAACCCGGAGCAGGAUCCCAUCCGAGCGUGGACUGGCGGCAGGAUGUUCAGCUGGAUGGGGCGGCAGGCGGGCGGGCGCGAACGCGCUGGCGGCGCGGACGCGGUGCAGACGGUGACGGGCGGGCUGCGCUCGCUCUACCUGCGCAAGGUGCUGCCGCUGGAGGAGGCGUACCGCUUCCACGAGUUCCACUCGCCUGCGCUGGAGGACGCCGACUUCGAGAACAAGCCCAUGAUCCUGCUGGUGGGCCAGUACAGCACCGGCAAGACCACCUUCAUCAGAUACCUACUGGAGCAGGAUUUCCCAGGCAUGAGGAUUGGUCCGGAGCCCACCACAGACUCCUUCAUCGCCGUGAUGUAUGGAGAGACUGAGGGCAGCACCCCAGGGAAUGCUUUAGUCGUGGACCCCAAAAAGCCGUUUAGAAAGCUCAGUCGCUUUGGAAACGCUUUCCUGAAUCGAUUCAUGUGCUCACAGCUCCCCAAUCAGGUCCUGAAGAGCAUCAGCAUCAUCGACAGCCCCGGCAUCCUUUCUGGGGAGAAGCAGCGCAUCAGCCGAGGUCAGUGCCUGUCCCUGCCCCUCCCCACCAAGUGCUGGCUGAGGCCCUCUCUGCUGUGAGCAGAGGAUUUCUGUCCCUAUAUUAUUCUAUCCGUCCUCCAGGACAGCUGUUGGGCAGCUGAAGGGGCCCCAAGUGUCAACCAGGAGUUCAUAGCAUCAAAGACUCUGCCCCCUCCAGGGGCUUAUAUUCUGUGAGAAAGACAUUUGUCAAGUUACACAUGAGUAAAUGAAGAUGAGGAGUGGGGUAAACAAUGGGAGGUAUCGAGGUGUGAGGGGACCUGGCUUGGCCUCGGGGGUGUUGGGAGAGGCUCCUGGAGGAAGCAGCAUUGGAACUAGGAUCUGAAGGAGUAGGAAUUACCUAAGGGAAGCUGUGGGGUAGGGAGAGACUAUGAAGCAUUCAGAGGGGAUCUGUGAAGGAUAGAAAAUGCUUGUGCCGAAGCACAAGUUUCUCCAGCCUUCACAAGACAAGGAUGAGGCAAUAGCUGCUUCUAGGCCUGUGCUUUGUAGUCAAAACAGAUGGGUCUGCUGGGUAGAGUGGCUCACGCCUGUAAUCCCAGCACUUUAGGAGGCCGAGGCAGGUGGAUCAGCUGAGGUCAGGAGUUCGAGAACAGCCUGGCCAACAUGGUGAAACCCCAUCUCUACUAAAAAUACAAAAAUUAGCUGGGCAUGGUGGUGGGCACCUGUAGUCCCAGCUACUCGGAAGGCUGAGGCACGAGAGCUGAACCUGGGAGGCGGAGGUUGCGGAGAGCUGAGAUCAUGCCACGGCACUCCAGCCUGUGGGCAAAAGAGCGAAACUCCGUCUCAAAAAAAAAAAAAAAAAAAAAAAAACCGGUGGGCCUGCUGUCUCCCUCCGUCCCGGAGGAAGGGGGCAUCAGGGGCAGACCAGAGGACAGAGUUGACUUACGGAGAGGAAAUGCCUGAUCGGGAGGGUCAGGAUGGGUUCCUGCCAUCACAGGUCCAGAGGCAGCUCAAGUCUUUUCCUUGCCCUGGCCCUUGAAACAAAGGCGGGUUGCUGGGAGGGAGGAGAUGGAGCAGAUGCAUUGCUGCCAUCACUUCUGGCUGAGAACUCUUCACAACCCCUUGAACAGCAAGUCGGUAGCACCGUGCUGAGAAGUCUGGGCAUGCCAGGGUUGAGCAGAAGCCUGUGUGGGGUCACGGUCGCAGGUUAUGACAAGGCAGUGAACACCCCGCAGCUCACAAAGCAGAAGUGCAGUUACAUAGGCCAGUGAGGGUCCCGUGACAGGGGUCAAGAAAGGGAUUCCGAGGCCAAUAAGCCCUCCUUUCUCUUGGCAUUUUGGGAAUGCCACCUCUGCUGCUCCGUGGCCCCGCAGAGAGCUCGGGGCUAUGCUGAGCCGAGGCCUCCCAGGGUGCCUGCUGUGCCUUCACUGUUUCAGUCAGGGACUUGCCAGCUAUGGAAUGCCAUUAAGGUCACCUUUCCCGGGCCUCCAAGAACCUUGCAAUUAUG